ACGCUCGACACCUACGGAGGCAGCAGUGGGGAAUAUUGCACAAUGGGGGAAACCCUGAUGCANCGACGCCGCGUGGAGGAAGAAGGUCUUCGGAUUGUAAACUCCUGUUGUUGGGGAAAAAGAGGAUGGUACCCAACAAGGAAGUGACGGCUAACUACGUGUCAGCAGCCGCGGUAAUCUGAGCGGGCUGGCAAGGC
Molecule: ribosomal RNA, 197 nt
Filed under: uncultured bacterium
Lineage: Bacteria
Description: partial 16S ribosomal RNA
Rfam family: Bacterial small subunit ribosomal RNA
Source: RNAcentral